UGGUGGGUGCAUGGAAGCUAGCUCAGCCUCCAGCCAGGGCUGCAUUGUCACAACAGGAAGGAAGAGCCUGCUGCCUCCAUCUGCCGGUGCCUAAAGCCUGGAGGCAUCUUCAGGACCAUGUGAAUACCGACUGAAGACGCCUGUCUGACCAGGGAGGAUACAUUUUUUCAUAGGAUCCCCUUUGUGAGAAACCACCAUAUAGUGACAAAAAAAAUACAUACACCUUCUGGCCAUGCUAGCACAUUGUCUGAAACAGAGGAUGAUGCUGAUGGAGGAACAUCCUCUGCCGUUGUGCCCCCGCGAAGGCGAAGCCUAGGUGUGACUAGCAGGCCACCACUUCAGGCAUCACCCCCACGCCGCAUAUAGGUGGUUUCACCCGUGCCCCCACAACAACUGCUGGACAGUCCCCCACGCAUGCCCCCACAAUCACCACAUU
This is a long non-coding RNA of Pseudophryne corroboree (corroboree frog), 436 nucleotides long. RefSeq lists it as uncharacterized. The transcript is spliced from 4 exons. The record is from RefSeq and is a predicted model, not a curated record. NCBI's taxonomy places the organism in Eukaryota, Metazoa, Chordata, Amphibia, Anura, Myobatrachidae.